This 506-nucleotide ribosomal RNA is filed under the name uncultured bacterium. RNAcentral describes it as "bacterial SSU rRNA". It matches the Rfam family "Bacterial small subunit ribosomal RNA", at positions 21 to 518 of the family's 1533-position model. The record is from RNAcentral.
GGCUCAGAACGAACGCUGGCGGCGCGUUUAAGCAUGCAAGCGAGCGGCAAGGGCCUUCGGGCCCCUAGAGCGGCGGACGGGUGAGUAACACGUGGACAAUCUGCCCCCCGGCCCGGGAUAGCCCAGGGAAACCUGGAUUAAUACCGGAUGAGACGGGACCCGCGAUGGCGGGAUCCGGGAAAGGCGCUGCGGCGCCGCCGGGGGAUGAGUCUGCGUCCCAUUAGCUAGACGGCGGGGUAACGGCCCACCGUGGCGACGAUGGGUAGCCGGCCUGAGAGGGUGGACGGCCACAUUGGAACUGAGACACGGUCCAGACUCCUACGGGAGGCAGCAGCUAAGAAUCUUCCGCAAUGGGCGAAAGCCUGACGGAGCCGACGCCGCGUGAACGAAGAAGGCCGUGAGGUUGUAAAGUUCUUUUCGGGAGGGGGAACAACCGUGGCAGGGAAUGGCCGCGGGAUGACGUGAAUCCCGGAAUAAGCCCCGGCUAACUACGUGCCAGCCGCUGC